UACGUAGGGUGCAAGCGUUGUCCGGAAUUAUUGGGCGUAAAGAGCUCGUAGGCGGUUUGUUGCGUCGGCUGUGAAAUCCCGAGGCUCAACCUCGGGUCUGCAGUCGAUACGAGCAAACUAGAGUGUUGCAGGGGAGGCUGGAAUUCCUGGUGUAGCGGUGAAAUGCGCAGAUAUCAGGAGGAGCACCGAUUGCGAAGGCAGCUCGCUGGGACGUAACUGACGCUGAGACGCGAAAGCGUGGGGAGCAAACAGG
This 253-nucleotide ribosomal RNA is filed under the name uncultured bacterium. RNAcentral's name for it is "partial 16S ribosomal RNA". It matches the Rfam family "Bacterial small subunit ribosomal RNA", at positions 524 to 776 of the family's 1533-position model. The record is from RNAcentral.